Molecule: transfer RNA, 80 nt
Filed under: Diaethria gabaza eupepla
Lineage: Eukaryota; Metazoa; Arthropoda; Insecta; Lepidoptera; Nymphalidae
Description: tRNA-Leu
Source: RNAcentral
AAGCUAUUUUGGCAGAGUUAAUUGUGAUGAUUUUAGAAAUCAUAAAUAUAUACAUAUAUAAAUUUAUUAUAUAAAUAGUA